Molecule: small RNA, 87 nt
Filed under: Salmonella enterica
Lineage: Bacteria; Pseudomonadati; Pseudomonadota; Gammaproteobacteria; Enterobacterales; Enterobacteriaceae
Also listed under: 3 other names
Description: partial RtT sRNA
Rfam family: RtT RNA
About the family: This family represents a bacterial cis-regulatory element known as RtT RNA.
Source: RNAcentral
GUUUGCACUUGUCGGGGAAGGGUGAGAACCUUCGAUUAAGGUUCGACUCGAGCGAAAGCGAGAGAACGUUGCCAACGGCAACGGCCC